RNAcentral lists this long non-coding RNA (423 nucleotides) under Trifolium pratense (red clover). RNAcentral's name for it is "long non-coding RNA (TPRA_LNC003241)". Lineage: Eukaryota; Viridiplantae; Streptophyta; Magnoliopsida; Fabales; Fabaceae. The record is from RNAcentral.
AGACCAAAAUAUACAUAUAUAUAAAAGAAAUAUACAGGUAAAAUAAUUUUACAGAAGACCUAAUGGCUUGUGUAUUUACGUUAUGGAGGCACAUGGUAAAAACAAUUGUCCAUGAAUGACUAAUUAUUUACAAACCAUUUGUAUAACAGAAAACUUAUGCAAAGGCUCAGAACCACUCUAAACUAAGCUGUCAUCCUCACAAUGACUUCAUUUCCACUGAUAUUACAUAUCUAACCAUAUUAGAUACAAUUUGGGAUCUCAAUAAUGUCGCCAACUGAAACAUAUAGAUAUAGUAUUCGUUUGAUUGAUUCGGUCGUGGUAGACAAGGUCCAAUACAUGUGGCCACUGCAAAUACGUAACGGUUCAUAAAGACCAGUAAAACCAGCUCCGUGUCAAAUCCAUCGUGAAUUUGCGAUAACCCUG